Molecule: ribosomal RNA, 691 nt
Filed under: Sphingomonadales bacterium
Lineage: Bacteria; Pseudomonadati; Pseudomonadota; Alphaproteobacteria; Sphingomonadales
Description: partial 23S ribosomal RNA
Rfam family: Bacterial large subunit ribosomal RNA
Source: RNAcentral
GGCCCGUUAUCCGGGUCCGGGACCCUGCGUGGUGGGGAGUUUGACUGGGGCGGGUCGCCUCCCAAAGUGUAACGGAGGCGCGCGAAGGUAGGCUCAGACCGGUCGGAAAUCGGUCGUUGAGUGCAAUGGCAGAAGCCUGCCUGACUGCAAGACUGACAAGUCGAGCAGAGACGAAAGUCGGUCAUAGUGAUCCGGUGGUCCCAAGUGGGAGGGCCAUCGCUCAACGGAUAAAAGGUACGCUGGGGAUAACAGGCUGAUGAUGCCCAAGAGUCCAUAUCGACGGCAUCGUUUGGCACCUCGAUGUCGGCUCAUCUCAUCCUGGGGCUGGAGCAGGUCCCAAGGGUAUGGCUGUUCGCCAUUUAAAGAGGUACGUGAGCUGGGUUUAGAACGUCGUGAGACAGUUCGGUCCCUAUCUGCCGUGGGUGUAGGAGACUUGAGAAGAGUUGCCCCUAGUACGAGAGGACCGGGGUGAACGCUCCACUGGUGGACCAGUUGUCGUGCCAACGGCAGUGCUGGGUAGCUAUGAGCGGACAGGAUAACCGCUGAAGGCAUCUAAGCGGGAAGCCCCCUUCAAAACAAGGUCUCCCUUGAGAGCCGUGGAAGACCACCACGUCGAUAGGCCGGAGGUGUAAGCGCAGCAAUGCGUUCAGCUGACCGGUACUAAUGGCUCGAUAGGCUUGAUUUGAUCCAG